Molecule: ribosomal RNA, 568 nt
Filed under: Desulfovibrio sp. enrichment culture clone CIBANICRA-SRB26
Lineage: Bacteria; Pseudomonadati; Thermodesulfobacteriota; Desulfovibrionia; Desulfovibrionales; Desulfovibrionaceae
Description: bacterial SSU rRNA
Rfam family: Bacterial small subunit ribosomal RNA
Source: RNAcentral
CUACAGGCGACGAUGAGUAGCCGGUCUGAGAGGGUGACCAGCCACACUGGGACUGGAACACGGCCCAGACUCCUACGGGAGGCAGCAGUGGGGAAUAUUGCGCAAUGGGGGAAACCCUGACGCAGCAACGCCAUGUGAGGGACGAAGGCUUUCGGGUCGUAAACCUCUGUCAGGAGGGAAGAAACUGUUUGGGGCUAAUACCCUCUUUCACUGACGGUACCUCCAGAGGAAGCACCGGCUAACUCCGUGCCAGCAGCCGCGGUAAUACGGAGGGUGCAAGCGUUAUUCGGAAUCACUGGGCGUAAAGCGCGCGUAGGCCGCGCGAUAAGUCAGGCGUGAAAGCCCUCGGCUCAACCGGGGAAUUGCGCUUAAUACUGUGCUGCUUGAGUCUCGGAGAGGAUGGCGGAAUUCCAGGUGUAGAAGUGAAAUCCGUAGAGAUCUGGAGGAACACCUGUGUCGAAGGCGGCCACCUGGACGAGUACUGACGCUGAGGUUCGAAAGCCUGGGGAGCCAACAGGAUUAGAUACCCUGCUAGUCCACGCCGAAAACGAUGAAUGCUAGAUGUCGG